AUUGAACGCUGGCGGCAGGCCUAACACAUGCAAGUCGAGCGGUAACACAGGGAGCUUGCUCCUGGGUGACGAGCGGCGGACGGGUGAGUAAUGUCUGGGAAACUGCCUGGUGGAGGGGGAUAACUACUGGAAACGGUAGCUAAUACCGCAUAAUGUCGCAAGACCAAAGAGGGGGACCUUCGGGCCUCUUGCCAUCAGAUGUGCCCAGAUGGGAUUAGCUAGUAGGUGGGGUAACGGCUCACCUAGGCGACGAUCCCUAGCUGGUCUGAGAGGAUGACCAGCCACACUGGAACUGAGACACGGUCCAGACGCCUACGGGAGGCAGCAGUGGGGAAUAUUGCACAAUGGGCGCAAGCCUGAUGCAGCCAUGCCGCGUGUAUGAAGAAGGCCUUCGGGUUGUAAAGUACUUUCAGCGGGGAGGAAGGUGUUGAGGUUAAUAACCUCAGCAAUUGACGUCACCCGCAGAAGAAGCACCGGCUAACUCCGUGCCAGCCGCCGCCGUAA
RNAcentral lists this ribosomal RNA (504 nucleotides) under uncultured bacterium. RNAcentral's name for it is "partial 16S ribosomal RNA". It matches the Rfam family "Bacterial small subunit ribosomal RNA", at positions 30 to 523 of the family's 1533-position model. The record is from RNAcentral.